AUUCGCUCAUAAGCAAGCAGCUGUAACGGUUCGUGUUUUCUGCAUUAAAGCAAGAAUAAAAACGAAUAAAUCGCUAAUAAAUAUUGAACGAUAAGCAACACAUAAAAAGUGAAGAAAUCUAUAAUUUCGUGUUUAAAAAAUAUUGACAGAAAACUUUUAUUAAUUAAAUUCGAUUUGAUAGAAAGGUGUACAAAAGUGAUAACUCAAAUAUGAAUUUAUCAUUUGCUGGUUGUGGAUUUCUGGGAAUUUACCAUGUCGGAGUUGCAGUUUCCUUCAAGAAAUACGCGCCACACUUGCUGCUGGAGAAGAUUUCAGGCGCUUCGGCGGGCUCCCUAGCAGCCUGUUGUCUGCUCUGCGAUUUGCCUUUAGGAAGCAUGACAUCGGAUUUUUUCCGGGUGGUCAACGAAGCACGCCGCUACUCGCUGGGACCAUUCAGUCCCUCGUUUAACAUACAAACCUCAUUGCUUGAGGGCCUACAGAAGCAUCUACCUGAGGAUGCCCACAAGCGUGUUAAUGGACGUCUUCACAUAUCGUUGACACGCGUUUAUGAUGGCAAAAACGUCAUCAUAUCCGAGUUUGAGUCGCGUCAAGAAGUCUUGGAUGCUCUGAUGUGCGCCUGUUUUAUACCUGGAUUUUCGGGAAUUUUGCCACCUCGUUUUCGUGGUGUGCGUUACAUGGACGGUGCCUUCUCAGACAAUUUGCCAAUUUUGGAUGAGAACACGAUUACAGUGAGUCCCUUUUGCGGCGAGAGUGAUAUUUGUCCACGCGACCAGAGCUCACAGUUAUUCCACAUUAACUGGGCCAACACAAGUGUAGAAAUCUCAAGGCAAAACGCGAGCCGGUUCGUUCGCAUUUUCUUCCCGCCACGACCAGAGUUUCUCUCGAAAUUCUGCCAGCAGGGUUUCGAUGAUGCAUUGCAAUUCCUGCAUCGCAACAAUCUUAUCAAUUGCCGUCGUUGCAUCGCCGUUCAGUCCACGUAUGUUGUCUCGGAGACCGUCAACACCGACGAUUUUGAAGCCGAGUGCGACGAAUGCAAGAAACACAGAAACGAUGCCUUAGGAUCACCCUUACCGGAGACUGUGUUGAAUGUGAUACAAGAAUGCAUUGAGCAGGCUAACAAGGGUUUAGCCAAUUGGAUAUUCAAGCACCGUGGCAUUAAAUUACUCUCAAUGCCAGCCACUGUGCCAAUGGACUUUCUUUUGGCGACAAUUAUGAAAAUCUCCACACUAACUCCAAAAGUGACGAAACAAAUGCGUCAGCUCAUCGAAGAAUUGCUUGUUCAACUUAACAACACCAUGCAACUACGUUUGCUCGAUAAAUUUACACUUUACGAUCAGCCACAUUUUGAUGCAACUGGUCUGUUUAACUCAGAUCAUCUGUAUGGUACUAAAGUCUCACUUCUUAUCGAUCAAUGCGGCGCUAAACCUCUUAAAGGCGAUGUUAAUCAAGUCGCUAAGAUGACGCACAAUGAAGCACUCUAUGCUUAUUAUUACACAGACGAUAAUACGAAUAAAGUCAAAGUGACUGAGAUAUUUGAUUUCGAUGACAUUGCGAAUGAGGAGCAUCAGCCAAAUUCGUUACGCUCGAUUGAAGAUCAUUCGAGUGGGCAUCAGCAUUAUCACAAUGAGUGGAAUUGCAUCGAGUCUGUCCAAUUAAUGCCCACUGCACCUGAAUUACACGAUGUUGCCUUUUAAGACUAUCAUUAAUUUCUGAUGCACUAAAUUCCAAAUUUUAUACACAUAAACGACGAAAUUAAUAGACAAAAUUAUGAUUUCAAAGGUAAAUUGGCAUUAUUUUUAAAAACUUUUGGUUUCGGUUAAUGUUGAAUCAUUAGAUAACUUUUUCAUAGACGAACAAACGCCCAACGAACUGCAGUCUUCUGCAAACGAUCUUGAAUCCACACAAAACAAUUCAUCCAAGCUCAGUUAUGCUGAGGAUAAUCAACGCUUAAGUGAUGUUCGCAUAGAGAUUGAAUGAAA
This is an RNA transcript of Drosophila sulfurigaster albostrigata, 1979 nucleotides long. It is a transcript of the gene named 1-acylglycerol-3-phosphate O-acyltransferase Pnpla3, with no coding region annotated. The record is from RefSeq and is a predicted model, not a curated record. Lineage: Eukaryota; Metazoa; Arthropoda; Insecta; Diptera; Drosophilidae. The transcript has 8 exons.